This 621-nucleotide long non-coding RNA is filed under the name Vigna radiata. RNAcentral describes it as "long non-coding RNA (VRAD_LNC014567)". Lineage: Eukaryota; Viridiplantae; Streptophyta; Magnoliopsida; Fabales; Fabaceae. The record is from RNAcentral.
GAUAGAGUACGUUCCAGCCAUGGGAGAUAUUGAAGCAGCCGAAUGGGUGAUGAAUCCAUGAGUAGAGGUGAAGUAUGCUCACUAAAUGCAACUAGCAGCGGAAGAAACGUGGUUCAGUGGAUCUAGUGGUUGAUUUAGGUGGAGGAAGAGCUUUCGGUGGAUGUGAUAUCUAGCUCAGACAGCCUUCCAUCCAUGGAAGGAAGCUAGAGGAGAGAAAGGGGAAGCUCAUGGUGGAGUGACUUUCGGUGCAGAGAAAAUAGCUGGAAAUGCAUCAGCAGAAGUUCUCAUAUAUUCCAAAAGUGAAUUACAUGGAGAUAGAAGAAGAGAUUUAUAAGCUAUCUCUUCUGUGCAAGUAAAUCUAAAUGGUGACCUAUGCUACCAUCAUUCACGGAUCAGAGGACACGUGGCAGCAAGUAUGGUUUCCGUGAGUAGCAUCCAGAAAAGCCAUGAACAAUGCAUUUAANAUGUGCUGGAAAGAGUUAUCAGCCGUGGUGUAUUUAGUAAAGGUAGGGGGUGCUUCCAGCAGCUGUGGUCUUCAUUUGGACAGUUUUACCCCUUCUCCAUGUGUUGAUUUAGUCCACAAGUGAUGGGUCCAUGAUGGGCUUGGACCCAAGUCAUCAA